RNAcentral lists this ribosomal RNA (1066 nucleotides) under Acinetobacter pittii. RNAcentral's name for it is "bacterial SSU rRNA". It matches the Rfam family "Bacterial small subunit ribosomal RNA", at positions 46 to 1108 of the family's 1533-position model. Lineage: Bacteria; Pseudomonadati; Pseudomonadota; Gammaproteobacteria; Moraxellales; Moraxellaceae. The record is from RNAcentral.
GCUUACCAUGCAAGUCGAGCGGAGAGAGGUAGCUUGCUACUGAUCUUAGCGGCGGACGGGUGAGUAAUGCUUAGGAAUCUGCCUAUUAGUGGGGGACAACAUUUCGAAAGGAAUGCUAAUACCGCAUACGUCCUACGGGAGAAAGCAGGGGAUCUUCGGACCUUGCGCUAAUAGAUGAGCCUAAGUCGGAUUAGCUAGUUGGUGGGGUAAAGGCCUACCAAGGCGACGAUCUGUAGCGGGUCUGAGAGGAUGAUCCGCCACACUGGGACUGAGACACGGCCCAGACUCCUACGGGAGGCAGCAGUGGGGAAUAUUGGACAAUGGGCGCAAGCCUGAUCCAGCCAUGCCGCGUGUGUGAAGAAGGCCUUAUGGUUGUAAAGCACUUUAAGCGAGGAGGAGGCUACUUUAGUUAAUACCUAGAGAUAGUGGACGUUACUCGCAGAAUAAGCACCGGCUAACUCUGUGCCAGCAGCCGCGGUAAUACAGAGGGUGCAAGCGUUAAUCGGAUUUACUGGGCGUAAAGCGCGCGUAGGCGGCUAAUUAAGUCAAAUGUGAAAUCCCCGAGCUUAACUUGGGAAUUGCAUUCGAUACUGGUUAGCUAGAGUGUGGGAGAGGAUGGUAGAAUUCCAGGUGUAGCGGUGAAAUGCGUAGAGAUCUGGAGGAAUACCGAUGGCGAAGGCAGCCAUCUGGCCUAACACUGACGCUGAGGUGCGAAAGCAUGGGGAGCAAACAGGAUUAGAUACCCUGGUAGUCCAUGCCGUAAACGAUGUCUACUAGCCGUUGGGGCCUUUGAGGCUUUAGUGGCGCAGCUAACGCGAUAAGUAGACCGCCUGGGGAGUACGGUCGCAAGACUAAAACUCAAAUGAAUUGACGGGGGCCCGCACAAGCGGUGGAGCAUGUGGUUUAAUUCGAUGCAACGCGAAGAACCUUACCUGGCCUUGACAUAGUAAGAACUUUCCAGAGAUGGAUUGGUGCCUUCGGGAACUUACAUACAGGUGCUGCAUGGCUGUCGUCAGCUCGUGUCCUGAGAUGUUGGGUUAAGUCCCGCAACGAGCGCACCCUUUUC